RNAcentral lists this ribosomal RNA (465 nucleotides) under uncultured bacterium. Its description in RNAcentral is "partial 16S ribosomal RNA". It matches the Rfam family "Bacterial small subunit ribosomal RNA", at positions 28 to 507 of the family's 1533-position model. The record is from RNAcentral.
GACGAACGCUGGCGGCGUGCUUAACACAUGCAAGUCGAACGGAAAGGCCCCCUUGUGGGGUACUCGAGUGGCGAACGGGUGAGUAACACGUGAGUAACCUACCCUUGACUUUGGGAUAACUUCAGGAAACUGGGGCUAAUACCGGAUAGGAGCUCCUGCUGCAUGGUGGGGGUUGGAAAGUUUCGGCGGUUGGGGAUGGACUCGCGGCUUAUCAGCUUGUUGGUGGGGUAGUGGCUCACCAAGGCUUUGACGGGUAGCCGGCCUGAGAGGGUGACCGGCCACAUUGGGACUGAGAUACGGCCCAGACUGCUACGGGAGGCAGCAGUGGGGAAUAUUGCACAAUGGGCGGAAGCCUGAUGCAGCAACGCCGCGUGCGGGAUGACGGCCUUCGGGUUGUAAACCGCUUUCGCCUGUGACGAAGCGUGAGUGACGGUAAUGGGUAAAGAAGUACCGGCUAACUACGUG